RNAcentral lists this unclassified non-coding RNA (246 nucleotides) under fungal sp. RNAcentral's name for it is "partial internal transcribed spacer region". The stretch from base 1 to 46 matches the Rfam family "Eukaryotic small subunit ribosomal RNA", at positions 1786 to 1831 of the family's 1831-position model. Lineage: Eukaryota; Fungi. The record is from RNAcentral.
AAGUCGUAACAAGGUUUCCGUAGGUGAACCUGCGGAAGGAUCAUUAACACAAAAACAAUCCCAUAUCCACCCCUUUUUAUAACGAACUCUGGUUUUACCAAAAUACCAUUGUCUCUUCUUUAUCCAACUUUUAUUUUUACCCCAACUUCUUAUAACCAAAAUGCAAUAGACUGAUAUUUAUUUAUCUUUAUAAUCUUUUAUAAAUGAUAUUUAAAACAACUCUUAGCAACGGAUAUCUUGGCUCUC